GUAAGUAAGAAUGGGGGUAGCCUCGCAGACAUUGCUUGAUGAGAAAUACAAUCUUUCAUUUUUCCUUUGUGAAGUAAAGUAUAAUAGCUGUGAGAGCAGUGAAAUCACAUCAAUUGACUUGUUUGAUAUUUAAAACUAAGUAAUUUUUUUAUUAAUCAUUUAUAUUUGGAGACGGGGUCUGGCUACAUACAUAGAAAGCCCAGGUUAUACUGGAACUUAAAAUGUACCUGCCUCAGUCUCCCAAGACCUUGUGUCAUUUAUUAGAGUUAAGCCUGAUAGAGCACCUGAAUCCAAUCCUGAUACUUACGUAACAAGAGAGAAACAGCUGUCAACACACACACACUUUUUUUUUUUUUUUUUUGGAGACAGGGUUUCUUUGUGCUCUGGCUGUCCUAGAACUCACUUUGUAGACCAGGCUGGCCUCAAACUCAGAAAUCCGCCUGCCUCUGCCUCCCAAGUGCUGGGAUUAAAGGCGUGCCCCAUCAUCGCCCGGCUAAAUUAUAAAACUUUUUAAAGAAUGUUCUUUAAAGGUAAGCUGACUGUAUGUGGUGUACACUUGGGAAGAGGAGGCAGGUGACAUCUGAACACCUGUGUGUUAGAGGCCAGCUGGGGUUACAAACUGAUUUUGAGGCCAGCCUCAAACAACAUGAUUGAGACCCAAUUUCGGGGGUUGGGGGAGUUAAAGUAAGCUGGAAAUGGUGGCACAUACCCUGUAAUCCUUGUGUUUGAGAGAUUGAGGCAGGAGGAUCAUGAUUAUAGUUGGUAGGGGGGUUGGGAGAAAUGGGUUUGCUCUCAAAGAGCCUGUAAAGCCCUCUGUUUGAUUUCCAGUACCCACAUCAGGUAACAUAAAAGCACUUGUAACUGCACCUUGUUAAUAACAAAAAGUUAAGUCACAUAGUAUCUCACAAG
This 909-nucleotide long non-coding RNA is filed under the name Mus musculus (house mouse). RNAcentral describes it as "long non-coding RNA chr9:44634194-44635103". The record is from RNAcentral. Lineage: Eukaryota; Metazoa; Chordata; Mammalia; Rodentia; Muridae.